This 275-nucleotide ribosomal RNA is filed under the name uncultured bacterium. RNAcentral's name for it is "partial 16S ribosomal RNA". It matches the Rfam family "Bacterial small subunit ribosomal RNA", at positions 338 to 610 of the family's 1533-position model. The record is from RNAcentral.
CCUACGGGGGGCUGCAGUAGGGAAUAUUGGACAAUGGAGGAAACUCUGAUCCAGCCAUCCCGCGUGAAGGAUUAAGGUCCUAUGGAUUGUAAACUUCUUUUCUUUGGGAAUAAAAUCUCCGAUUCUUCGGAGCUUGAAGGUACCAGGGGAAUAAGCACCGGCUAACUCCGUGCCAGCAGCCGCGGUAAUACGGAGGGUGCAAGCGUUAUCCGGAUUCACUGGGUUUAAAGGGUGCGUAGGUGGUUUUGUAAGUCAGUGGUGAAAGCCUACAGCUU